CCUGGACCUGAACAUGGACCUGAGCCCAGCUGUGUGUCCAUGAAGAGUGACAGGAUCCAUCAGAGACCAAACUUCCCUGAGCCCAGCAGUGUGUCCAUGAAGAGUAACAUGUCAAUGGGUUACCUCAUUAAUUUCAAAGGACAGCCUCCCUCUGCUGCAAAGAAAGUGGACCAGGAGAGCUCAGAGGUUCCCAGUGCUCAGUCUGCCCAGCAGCAU
Molecule: long non-coding RNA, 216 nt
Organism: Toxotes jaculatrix (banded archerfish)
Lineage: Eukaryota; Metazoa; Chordata; Actinopteri; Toxotidae
Exons: 3
Source: RefSeq, a predicted model, not a curated record